Molecule: ribosomal RNA, 101 nt
Filed under: Sarcocystis cruzi
Lineage: Eukaryota; Apicomplexa; Conoidasida; Eucoccidiorida; Sarcocystidae
Description: partial 18S ribosomal RNA
Rfam family: Eukaryotic small subunit ribosomal RNA
Source: RNAcentral
GCGGCAACGCGUGUGCGGAAUGGAAAGUUUUGUGAACCUUAACACUUAGAGGAAGGAGAAGUCGUAACAAGGUUUCCGUAGGUGAACCUGCGGAAGGAUCA